UCCGAUAUGGUGUAGUGGCCAACAUGAUGCCCUCUCACCUCAAGAGAGGUUAGGCAUAGCCCCGAGUUCGAUUCUCGGUUUCGGAA
Molecule: transfer RNA, 86 nt
Filed under: Colletotrichum incanum
Lineage: Eukaryota; Fungi; Ascomycota; Sordariomycetes; Glomerellales; Glomerellaceae
Rfam family: tRNA
About the family: Transfer RNA (tRNA) molecules are approximately 80 nucleotides in length.
Source: Rfam by way of RNAcentral